This is a long non-coding RNA of Homo sapiens (human), 1572 nucleotides long. NCBI's taxonomy places the organism in Eukaryota, Metazoa, Chordata, Mammalia, Primates, Hominidae. The record is from Ensembl.
AGAAGCUGCAGCCAAAAGGAGAGCAGCGCAUAUAUUCACAGAAAGAAUAUAGGUGACUUAAAACUUCCCCGGCAGAACUUCACUGAAACAGCUCUGGAAAGAGCGGUGACAGUUAACCAGAAGGUAGCAAAGAAGAGUAAAAAUGAAGCAAAGAAAAAUGAGAAAUGGAAAUCCAGACCUCUGAGAAGGAGCACUGCUCAGCUGAUAGUGGGAUCUUUGAGCUUGGGAUGGGGAUGAGAAGAGAAAAUAGAGCUGGUUCUGCAAGCAAACUGGAUCCAGAUACUUCAGAAAGGAACUACUGCCACUAUGAUUUGUAGACCUUCCCACGUACCCUUAUGGACAGAGUCAAACAUGGAGCUGUUGGCAAAGCAGAAAUGUGGUCUGCAGAGUUUGAGCCCCAGUGUCACAAAGCAGAGUGUAAAAGGGUAAAUAACAGCUUACAAGCAGAAGUCACGAAGAUCUUACUGAAAAUAACCAUAACAUAAUCUUUCAUCUAAAGACUUUCCUGGCUCCUCCUGUAUAGUGCUUUACUUUGCUGAACUUGCAUACACACCAGGUUAAUUUAUAGUUGGAGAAAAGCCUUAUAACUCUUAAAGCCCCCUAACUCACUCUCCAGCUUCCAAGGACACAGGGGUUAUGUCAACAUGCUGGGAUGCUAUAGGGACAUUAAAAUGACAAACGUGCUAACUAAUGUCAAUAUAUGGACAUGGUAAUACAAAAUUUAAAAAUUAAAAAAAAAAAUCCCAGAAGACAACAUCCUAGGGGUACUUAUAUAUAACAAUGUAAAGUUUAUAGAUGUACAUGAAAAGAUUGGAAGUAAAAUUGGAAUAAUGUGAAUUAAAUUGAAAUAAGUCAUUGUACCUCAAUGUUCCAUUUUUUCUUUCUAUAAAAUUGUGCAAGUUCAUAAUUGUUUUUUUAAAGAAAAAAUGAGAAAAUUUGCUCAUUUGUGUUUCCCAAACUGCUUCUCUAUUAGAUCUGUGUCCAUGCCAAUGGUUUUUUUUUUUUGUAUCUUCUUUGAACAAAUAAAGUAAUGUUGGUUUUGUCUGACCUAUAACCCCAGCUUUUUAAACACUUUAUGCUUUUACAGCUGUUUAGUAUAAUAUCAUAGACUGAGUAGAGUUUGCCCUCUGAAUUAAUUUUCAAAAUAAGAUCAAUAUGUACAAUUAAAGAAAAUCACUAUAAAAACUAUACUAUCUAUCAUACAACAUAUCGUUGGCUCUCUUGGUUUUUAAAAGUAGUAACAGUGCCUGACUUUGUCCUGCUUUGUGCAGAAUGAGACAUGAUGAAAGUAUUUUGUGUGCUGACAAUAAAACACAGUGGAGAGGAAAAGGAAAAAGCUGCUCCUGUGAAAAUGCUUUCCUUCAAUAGGAAACUCUUCGUUCCUGGUUGAAGAGGCACGGAGAAAACACAGCCAUGAAAACACAGUUCUUCUUCUAGUCACAAACAUGCCUUUGGCACUGAUCAAGGCACCCCCCAAGGAUGAGGGCUGGGGCAAAGGACUAUUAAACUAGAAUGUUCUCAAUUUUUCUUUUACUGUCUCAAGGCCAUCUAGUAAAUGUUCUUGCAACUACA